UACAGAGGUCCCAAGCGUUGUUCGGAUUCACUGGGCGUAAAGGGUACGUAGGUGGUGGAUUAAGUCGGGUGUGAAAUCUCCGGGCUCAACCCGGAGGGUGCGCCCGAAACUGAUCCGCUCGAGGGUGGGAGGGGAGACUGGAAUUCUCGGUGUAGCAGUGAAAUGCGUAGAUAUCGAGAGGAACACCAGUGGCGAAGGCGAGUCCCUGGACAACUUCUGACACUGAGGCACGAAAGCUAGGGGAGCAAACAGG
This 253-nucleotide ribosomal RNA is filed under the name uncultured prokaryote. Its description in RNAcentral is "partial 16S ribosomal RNA". It matches the Rfam family "Bacterial small subunit ribosomal RNA", at positions 524 to 776 of the family's 1533-position model. The record is from RNAcentral.